Molecule: long non-coding RNA, 2545 nt
Organism: Hipposideros armiger (great roundleaf bat)
Lineage: Eukaryota; Metazoa; Chordata; Mammalia; Chiroptera; Hipposideridae
Exons: 3
Source: RefSeq, a predicted model, not a curated record
CCUGGGGCUGAUAAACCAGCGCCAGCUCUCUCCAGGAGCGUUUACUUUACCAAGCCCUUCCGAGCAAGAUUCAGAAAGGAUGCGCUUUGGGGCCGCAACACAUCUUCGCUGGGGGAAUCUCGGGGUUCAUUUCGACGUUCAACUCUCUACUCCUAAGGGAAGAAAGGCCUUUGAGUGGUGUAGACGGGUCCCACUCCCUCAGCCCCACCCGCAACCUUGAAAAACGCAAUCUGUUAGCUUUAGGAUAAAUCGGAUGUGAAGUAGGCUAAAGUAGAGGAAGCAGAACCACGACUUGAGGAAAGGAGACAGCCUUGGUUUUAAUCCAGUGUUGAAAUAAGGUCCUGGUUCAUCCCUGUCUAAUCCUGUUUCCAAAGCACUACAUCAACAAAGGCUUAGUUGUCAAGAAAAAAAAAAAAAAGGCAAUUCGUGGUAAAGGAAAGACACACCUGAAGACAAUGAAGGCAACAGGCUGCCAAGGAAGCAGAUAGUGGAGACUUUUCCCUAAGCUUAUUAAUCCCACAGGGAGGUCUCUGGAAGGGGAAGGGGCUGUGAGGGGUGGCGGAGGUAGAACAUGGAACUUCAUAGCCUCACCAUGGAGAAUAUGAAAGUUUCUAAGGGAUAACUUAGAGGCAAGGUGAGGCAGACUCGCUGAGCUGGAUAAAGGUUUACAGGGAUAAGGGACACUUUGUUUUUUAUAAAUAUACAUGACAAUCUCAGUUUGGGUCAGGUGAUAAGUGUUUCCCAGCCUGGUCCUGGGAGAGGCAGAGACUUAAGGAAGGGAUGGAUCAUUUUGGAGCCUGUAUGCAGGGACUCCAGGCUACCAACUGCAGAAUUCAUUAUUUCUGAUGCACAUUUUUCUCUCUUCAGCUUUUCCUUUCUCAAUGAAUGGUAGCUGUUUUUAAUUCUUCUGCUGCUGCUGCUACUGCUGUCAUUCUGAUUAUAACCUACCUUUUUCAAGUUUAAAACCUUCUCUCUGAGGGAUCUCAAACUCCACUUGCCAUUCUGUUGGAGUUCAGCUGUGAGCUGGAUAAUCUUUGAGAACUUUGUGUCAUUCAUUUCCUCUCCUGGAUCUGGGUUGUGGUCAACUGGCUUAAUGGCUUCUGAGUAUGACUUCCAUCAGCAUUAGCAACUGAGGUGAUAUUAAAGGCAACUACCACAGAUCUGAAACCAAUGCCUCAUACUCACAGGUGUGACCUGUGACCCAGAUCCAAUACCCAGCAUCCUGAUCCCCUGGAACCUCCCAGUUUUAUAUACUUCCCCAGAUAAAUAUUUAGAGAUCUGGCAAGGAAUAUCCUGAUGUUCCGUCAACGCAACUCCACAGGUUACAAAGUUUUCCCAGAGUCAAGCCUCAAUUGUAGAUGGAGGGUGGGAGGAAGGCAGUGGAGGGAGGGCCGCAGUCAACCACUCUGAGCCUCCUCACCCUCCAAGCCAGGCUUUCCAGGUCGACUGGGGACCAAAGGGUGUCCAGCAGCCUCAAAUGAGAGGGAGAAUCAGAUUUUGAGAAGGUUGAUUCUAGGCCUUAGGAAUGUCACCAAGGUGAGGGACUCUCCAUCAAAUUCUGUGCACAGCCAGGAAAAGGGGCAUGAUCCCAACACUCAGUACCUGAGUCCCACCUCAUCCUCUCUUUUAGGCUGUACGCAAUUCCUAACGUAAAAAGAGAGAUGCUUCUUGACACACAGUGGCACCUGAUCCCAGCUAGCCCUUGCAAGUGUGGACUUAGAUUAUAAAUUGGGCUGCUGGGGGAUAAGCUGCAUAAAGCAAUUCUCUCCUGGGAGGUGGGGGGGGGCAUCUAAACAGAACGUACACAUGCCCAUGAUGUUCUAGCUUGGAGUUUAUCCAUGAAAUACUUUCUGGAAGCCUGAGGAAAGGUACAGCAUCUGAUCUUCUCAAAGGAAAAGGAGAACAAAAAAGAAAAGAAAAGAAAAAGAUUUGGGGGAGUACACAGCAGUUAGUAACCACAACAAUAAUGAUUCGCAUUGCUUUGUUACAGCCUUAGAAAUAUAGUUUAUUUCUUCACAAACUAUGCUCUCAGAACCAAAUUACUCCCCUGCUCAUAUUGCAAAUUAACUGUUUGAGUGAAAACCAUCUUUUAUCAUUUCAAUUAAAAUGAAUUGCAGGUGUUUCAUGAUUUAAUCUGGGGGUAUUACUCUAAUGUUGAUGGGGGACUGUAUCCCCAAACAUGUAUGGAAAGCCAAUAGUUUUAACAGAUUUUCAUAAACAUUUAAAAAUGACCAAUGUGUCUUCACUUUUAAGUCGCCACUUGGGGAAGUACUCUCUUAAAGAAUUCAAAGACCAACUUGUCACAAACAAUAGUAACAGCAUGGCUACUAUAAACAAUACUGUACAUAUAUUUCAAAGUAGCAGAAAUAAUAGGCAGGGGGAUUGAAACAUAUUUGUUCUCUUGAAUUUGCUGAUUGAAAGGCCAAUUACCAGAUUGAUUUGGUAGUCUUCUGGUAAUGUAAUAUAAAAGUAAACAAGAUAUUCAUAAUCUCCUUUAACAUUUUAAGGAGAACCCAUAUUUUAAGAAUAAAUAAUAUCUAGAAUU